UACGUAGGGUGCAAGCGUUAAUCGGAAUUACUGGGCGUAAAGCGUGCGCAGGCGGUUAUGUAAGACAGGCGUGAAAUCCCCGGGCUCAACCUGGGAAUUGCGCUUGUGACUGCAUAACUAGAGUACGGCAGAGGGGGAUGGAAUUCCGCGUGUAGCAGUGAAAUGCGUAGAUAUGCGGAGGAACACCGAUGGCGAAGGCAGUCCCCUGGGCCUGUACUGACGCUCAUGCACGAAAGCGUGGGGAGCAAACAGGAUUAGAUACCCUGGUAGUCCACGCCCUAAACGAUGUCAACUGGUUGUUGGGUAUUUACUUACUCAGUAACGAAGCUAACGCGUGAAGUUGACCGCCUGGGGAGUACGGCCGCAAGGUUGAAACUCAAAGGAAUUGACGGGGGCCCGCACAAGCGGUGGAUGAUGUGGUUUAAUUCGAUGCAACGCGAAAAACCUUACCUACCCUUGACAUGUCAGGAAGUUUCCAGAGAUGGAUUCGUGCUCGAAAGAGAACCUGAACACAGGUGCUGCAUGGCUGUCGUCAGCUCGUGUCGUAAGAUGUUGGGUUAAGUCCCGCAACGAGCGCAACCCUUGUCAUUAGUUGCUACAUUUAGUUGGGCACUCUAAUGAGACUGCCGGUGACAAACCGGAGGAAGGUGGGGAUGACGUCAAGUCCUCAUGGCCCUUAUGGGUAGGGCUACACACGUCAUACAAUGGCUGGUACAAAGGGUUGCCAACCCGCGAGGGGGAGCUAAUCCCAUAAACCCAGUCGUAGUCCGGAUUGUAGUCUGCAACUCGACUGCAUGAAGUCGGAAUCGCUAGUAAUCGUGGAUCAGAAUGUCACGGUGAAUACGUUCCCGGGUCU
RNAcentral lists this ribosomal RNA (856 nucleotides) under uncultured bacterium. RNAcentral's name for it is "SSU rRNA". It matches the Rfam family "Bacterial small subunit ribosomal RNA", at positions 524 to 1381 of the family's 1533-position model. The record is from RNAcentral.